UACGGAGGGUGCAAGCGUUAUCCGGAUUCACUGGGUUUAAAGGGAGCGUAGGUGGCUUUGUAAGUCAGUGGUGAAAUAUUGCGGCUCAACCGCAAAACUGCCAUUGAUACUGCUUAGCUUGAAUCACGUCGAGGUGGAUGGAAUAAUACAUGUAGCGGUGAAAUGCUUAGACAUGUAUUAGAACACCGAUUGCGAAGGCAGUUCACUAGGCGUGUAUUGACACUGAGGCUCGAAAGCGUGGGGAUCAAACAGG
This 253-nucleotide ribosomal RNA is filed under the name uncultured bacterium. RNAcentral's name for it is "partial 16S ribosomal RNA". It matches the Rfam family "Bacterial small subunit ribosomal RNA", at positions 524 to 776 of the family's 1533-position model. The record is from RNAcentral.